RNAcentral lists this ribosomal RNA (253 nucleotides) under uncultured bacterium. Its description in RNAcentral is "partial 16S ribosomal RNA". It matches the Rfam family "Bacterial small subunit ribosomal RNA", at positions 524 to 776 of the family's 1533-position model. The record is from RNAcentral.
UACGGAGGGUGCAAGCGUUAUCCGGAUUCACUGGGUUUAAAGGGUGCGUAGGCGGCUUUUUAAGUCAGUGGUGAAAGCUCCAUGCUUAACAUGGAAAUUGCCAUUGAUACUGAAGAGCUUGAGUACAUUUGAAGUGGGCGGAAUAUGUCAUGUAGAGGUGAAAUUCUUAGAGAUGACAUAGAACACCGAUUGCGAAGGCAGCUCACUAAACUGUAACUGACACUGAGGCACGAAAGCGUGUGUAUCAAACAGG